AAGUCGUAACAAGGUUUCCGUAGGUGAACCUGCGUAUCCAAACGUUAAACCCCCCUGUGAACCUUCAGUGUACUCGUACGUCCGUUAGAAAAAGCAGCAAUCCCUGGUAAAUCAUCGCCGAACAGUUUUCGAUUCAGGGACGUCUGCAAGGAGCGUGCAUGUUGUGCGAGCAAGUGGCCUGGCAUCCCCAAGCAGUUAGUGUCUGAAAGUGUCAUUAACUGUGUAAGGAUGACGCAGUCACGAUCGUUGGAGGCCCACACGGCCGACGACCGGGUCACUGGGCGCAAGCCCCCCUAUAACAAACGCUGCUAAGCGCGGCCGCGAUAAUACGCAGUCGACCAAAAACCGAACAACUGUUAACAAUGGAUAUCUUGGUUCUC
RNAcentral lists this unclassified non-coding RNA (380 nucleotides) under fungal sp. Its description in RNAcentral is "partial internal transcribed spacer region". The record is from RNAcentral. Lineage: Eukaryota; Fungi.